AACUGCGAAUGGCUCAUUAAAUCAGUUAUCGUUUAUUUGAUAGUACCAUACUACUUGGAUAACCGUGGUAAUUCUAGAGCUAAUACAUGCUAAAAACCUCGACUUCGGAAGAGGUGUGUUUAUUAGAUUAAAGACCAAUGCCCUCCGGGGCUCACUGGUGAUUCAUAAUAACCUCUCGAAUCGCACGGCCCUGCGCCGGCGAUGGUUCAUUCAAAUUUCUGCCCUAUCAACUUUCGACUUUAGUGUAGUGGACUAAAGUGGUUGCAACGGGUAACGGAGGGUUAGGGCUCGACCCCGGAGAAGGAGCCUGAGAAACGGCUACUACAUCCAAGGAAGGCAGCAGGCGCGCAAAUUACCCAAUCCCGACACGGGGAGGUAGUGACAAUAAAUACUGAUACAGGGCUCUUUCGGGUCUUGUAAUUGGAAUGAGUACAAUUUAAAUCCCUUAACGAGGAACAAUUGGAGGGCAAGUCUGGUGCCAGCAGCCGCGGUAAUUCCAGCUCCAAUAGCGUAUAUUAAAGUUGUUGUGGUUAAAAAGCUCGUAGUUGAACCUGGGCCCCGCGCCCGCCGGUCCGCCUCACCGCGUGCACUGGCGCGGCCGGGGCUUUCACUUGGGGAACCGCAUGCCCUUCGCUGGGCGUGCGCGGAACCAGGACCUUUACUGUGAAAAAAUUAGAGUGUUCAAAGCAGGCCUAUGCUCGAAUACAUUAGCAUGGAAUAAUAGAAUAGGACGCGCGGUUCUAUUUUGUUGGUUAUGGGACCGCCGUAAUGAUUAAUAGGGCCAGUCGGGGGCAUCAGUAUUUCAAUAGUCAGAGGUGAAAUUCUUGGAAUUUAUUGAAGACUAACUUACUGCGAAAGCAUUUGCCAAGGAUGUUUUCAUUAAUCAGGAACGAAAGUUAGGGGAUCGAAGACGAUCAGAUACCGUCGUAGUCUUAACCAUAAACUAUGCCGACUAGGGAUCGGGCGAUGUUACAUUCUGACUCCGCUCGGCACCUUACGAGGAAUUAAAGUCUGUGGGU
RNAcentral lists this ribosomal RNA (1019 nucleotides) under Lulworthia atlantica. Its description in RNAcentral is "SSU rRNA". It matches the Rfam family "Eukaryotic small subunit ribosomal RNA", at positions 85 to 1112 of the family's 1831-position model. The record is from RNAcentral. Lineage: Eukaryota; Fungi; Ascomycota; Sordariomycetes; Lulworthiales; Lulworthiaceae.